ACCUGCAAGCCAUGGAAAAAUGCAAUCCAUAUAACAAAGUAAUGUAAACAAACAUAGAUAUAUUUUGUGUUUCAGGUUUUGUAGAAAAGAACAACUAUGUUAUUGCAGAAGAACGCAAUAAGUUAUAUUCUUUGUUGGAAAACAACAAUUAUGUUCUCUUUUUUUUUUUUUUUGGUUGAGGAAAAGACAAUUAAUUACAUAAAAACGUCGCCACCUCAGAAACACAGGCAAUCAAAUGAAGAGGCACACGUAUUACAAUUCUAUGUCCAGAAAUUUCACAAACAAUCUUGAGAAAAAUCGACAACCCAUCUUAACGCCUUGGUUGACAAUUAUGAUCUAUAAGCACUUAAAUGUGAAUCUGAAUUGACAAGGUAUACCAACUAGGCAACUGGAGAAAUUAAAAGGCAAUAAAGAACAGAGGUAGUAAUAGAAACUAAAAAUGACGUCACAUUCAGAUUUCUCAAGAAAAUUAUUUGAAGUUUUUAGAUUGGAAAAUACUAGUGACCAAAACAACCUGCCUUGAAAGAAACCAGAAUCAAUAAGAGGUUGAGUCUAUGUAGACUACCUGAACUCUAGAUGGCACCAGAUAAUCUCGAGCGCCUUCCGGAGUAGAUCGAGAAAGUAUUGGCGUCUCAAUCUACCUUAUAACCAUCAAAAGUUCAGAAUUGAAUAAUAGAGAAAAAAAAUUUCUGACCAUUCAAAGAGCAUAAUAUGAAGUUCUGAUGCAGAAAAUAAUUCAAGUAAACUUCAAGAAAGGCAAACAGUCGGUUAAAAGUUAUAAACAGGGAGUACCUCCACAAAACCAUGUACAUCCUCUAAAUAUCUUCGAAGGAGCUUCACCACUUUAUGACGAAGCAUUAUGUUAAAAUUCAUUUGUUUCCUUCGUAGAUCAAGGUACCGAUACCUAUAAAUACUCAACUCAUAAAUAAAAUAGACAUGGGUCUAGGCCUAGGCCUGAAGUGAUAGUAUAUCAAAUAAUCACCUCAGACGAAUUUCCUCUUUAGCAGAAUCCUUUGCAUCAUCAGCUGUUGUAACUAGAAAGGGCAACUUUGAUCCAACAGAAUUUAAUAUCUGAACAUGCUCCGCAGCAACCUUGAAUAUAUCAUGAAAUUAACCCCAUAACAAUAACUGAAUAAGUACAACUGUAAUAUGGUUGUUGAUUCAUUGGUAACUUAGAAUGAUCUAGAAGAAGAGAACUAAGAUAGUGAAGAAAAAGGUCCAAUUUCUACUAUACUUCAAUAGAACAGCAACUAGCCUAAAACCCAUCUGUGUCUCUUUAUUUUGUGGAAGACAUUACUUUUCAUUCCAUGACUGAGAAGUUGUGAGAAACGCACCCGUGGGAACUUAUAAAAAGUCACUCCAAUUGAAAUUUAUCACAAAAACAUUAUAAAUACCAAACAAACUAUUGUGAAUAAUCCAUGAAGUGCCCAAAAAGUCAAUUAAAUCCCCACAUUUUUAGGAAUAAACUGAUGUUCAUUUCAUUGAUGAAUGAAAUGUAUAAAAGGGCUUACAACCACCAUAAGCAGAUUACAGAGGAAAAUAUCUAAAACUAACAAGUGAAUAAAGUAAAAGUGUUGAAUUAGAAAGAAAAAAAAUGGCAUUUGACUCUUCAUUUAGGGUUGCAUCUUUUUUAUUGCAUAAGCUGCAUUCUUUCGUGAAUGGUUAUCUUUUUAGAUUUUAAGUUUUAACCGACUUGAAAAGGUGACAAGACUAUUCAAAUGGCCACUUACAUGUGCAUGUGCCUCCUCUCCAAAUUGAACUUACAUUUUCCCAUGAACACUUUUCUCCUAAAAAUUUUCUCUCGUUUAAACAUUUUUUGAAGUUUGGUUUACUCCACAAAGUAGAGUUCAUUAGAUCUUGUGAACGAGGAAGGUGUGGAUUCUAGAAGAAAAGUAAUUUGUUCCAUCUUGAAAGACAAUUACUCUCAAAACUCAGGCACUAUAGUGAUAAAAUUUAAUUUGUUGGCUCAUAUUUUUAUUGUAUGUGAGGUUACUAAUUUUAUGGUUUUACUUUUAUUUGAUAUUGUUCAUAUAACAAAAAGACUCUAAUCCUUGAAGCGGAGUACUUGCACCAAUAAGUAGUAUUACAAAAAAAAAUGCCAUAAAAUUAUCAGCAGGAGAUGACUUAUCAUAGAAGAUCCGGCUGUUAAUUUUGCACCAUAAAACUAAAUUCAACAAACCCAAUCUCUAUGGCCUCCUUCAAAAAUUCUCCAGAAACAAGUGGCUCUGAUUGCUACAACCUUGGAAUUCGUGCUUUCAAGUUUGCUUUCAAGUUGAGAUAAACACCACACGGCCAGCAAGUUCCAUGCUAGAAGUAGCAUCUAUUUGGAGACACCGGAAAAUCCCAAAAGAACUAAACACUUUCCCCCGCAACUAACCCAUCUCAAGCUUUUAAUAACCGUGACCAAGAACUCCCAAAAUUAUUGAUUAGUAAGAAUUAACUAAUUUAUUUGGCUAAAGGCUUAAGAUUUUCGGAAAUUCCUCCAAGAUACUAGGUUCAAGGCUUACAUUGUGUACUUGAUAACUUCAAAAUCUUGUUUAAAAUUGUUGUUUACUCGGGAGUUGGCCAAGUAGAUCGUAGGGGGAAGGCUUGAGCAUAACUCCUGGCUAGAUGAACAGUAAAACAAAAUUGAAAUUCUUACAUACCUCUAUCAAACCAGUUUUCAUUUUUACAUUAACCGAAUCCCCAGGCCGUGACCGAACAGUUCCUUCCACGGCAACAACAUACUCAAGUCGCAAAUCGUUAAUAGUCGAAUGAGCAUCUGGAAACUCGUUGGGGAGCGUAGUCACCUAAUUCAAGCAGUAAAAACCAAUUGUCAACAAUAGCACAACUUCAAUUUCAAACUAAUCCUAAAAAUUCAAACAGAGGAAUAAAAAAAAUAAGCACCUGAACAAUACCACUGUGAUCUCUAAGAUUGAGAAACGUCAAACCACCAUGAACCCUAUGCAGAGCAACCCAACCACAGAGCCGAACCCGCUUCCCAACAUCAUCAACUGACAAUUCACCACAGAGCGCCGUACGAUUGAUCCACUGAAGAGAGUCUUUAAAAGGGGAGUGAGGAUUCGAAGUGGGGACAAGGAUUUCGGUGGCGGAGGAAGGAGAAGGAGUGGCGGAAGUGGAGAAUGAGGAGACAGGUCUGUGAGUUGUGGAAAUGGAUUGGGGAAAGCGGAGAUGAGAAAUGUGGUGGCGGAUGGGGAGAAAUUGAGGAGGCUUUGGGCGAAUAGUGGAGAAAGGAAAAGCUCGGAGGAGAGAACGGGACAUGGCGCGGAGGAUUUUCAGAUGGGGUGUAAUGGAAGAUUGAAGGAGGCGAAGGGUUUAAGGAUUCUGAAAAUGGAGGGUAGAACGCACUGCGUGUGGAUGAAGACGCCUUAGACUUAGAGGAUGGCAUUUUGGCGCUUUUUCUUCACAUUUUAUUUCCUUUUUUGUUUUAUUUUCCCCUUCUUUCUUUGAUUUAGAUAGUAAUUUGUUGGAUAUUAUCUCUCUUCUAAAAAAAUAGAGAAAUUUCCACGUGGAAAACUAUGGUUUAUAUAGAAUCUAAAAUUUUGUAAAUAUUUUUAAUUUAUUUGGUUAUUUUCUAGAGUGUUUUCAAUAUCAAACUACUUUUAAAAAUAGUAAAAAAAUUAUUCUACUAACUUUUAUCGAAUAUCAUUUUCUAUAAUUGAUAGUAUAAAUAAUAAAUUAUAAGUUUUUAUCGUGUAUAGACUUUUAUUACUGUGAUAGAUUUAUAUCCGUUUUUGUAGUUAUAAACUUUUAUAAACAUCUACUUCCCUAAGAAAUGAAGAUAUAAUUUUUUUUUUACAACUUGUAAAUAGUCUUGCUUAGUUUAUUUACAAAAAAAAUUGUUCAAAUAAAAACGAUUUAAAUGAAUUUAAAAUUUGUUUUAAAAAUUAGUUUGAGUAGUUACCCAAUAUUUCAAUUUUUGUCUAAACUAUUUUUUUUUUUAAAUUAACACUUGGAAAUUUAAGCGAAACUCAUUCUUAAUCUCUAAUAUCUGUUUGUCAUAGUGUUUAUAUAUAUUAUUCUCUGCUUGUCCUCUCUUUCACUAUUUUGUAACAAUGCUUAUAAUUUUCUAUCAACAUUAAAAUAGGGUGUAAACGAUGGUGUUAGUGUAACACAACUACGAUAACAUGUACUCCAAACAUAGACUUUUUUAUCAUCUACGUAUUACUUAAUUUAUAAACGAUGGUACUAUGAUAUUUUUCCACCUUUUGCUCACAAAAUAACUCAAAGCAUGUUGCAGACAAAAGCAUCCUUGAUUCAUAUGGAAUAAGUUUCAAAGAAAAUUAGUGAAAUCGACGUGAGUGAAGCAUGAUUGAUGUUAGAUGGACUUGUCUAUCAUUGAAAGUGUUAAAAAAUCUCGAUGUGAUCUGAAUAACACAAUCAAUCCAACCUAUACGAUUUGUCGUCCAACCAAAUGGUGGCUAUCAUGGGUGUUAUCGGUUCAAGUUGACCUAAGCCUCAAAACGAACUAAAUCAAUUAAAAUAUUAGAUAAAUAUAUAUAUUGGAUCUCUUAAUUAUUGGUGUGGGCAAUUCAAUCAAACAGUUCGAUCAAUGAGAAUCCAACUUGGUUAACUCAAAUGGUUGUGUUUGAAUGUGGGUUUGGAAGUUCGUUUGACCAUCAAAUAAAUGUGAACCAACUUAGAUAGAUGAAAGAAAAACAAUAAAAAAAAUUAUCUCUCUAAAGUUUGAGACUAAUGUCUAACCAAUUCACAUAUAAUCGUAUAUAAUUAACAAUCACUUUAAUAAGGAAAUGCAUACUCCAAAUCUAGGAGUUAUAUCACUCAAAACUUCUAAGUCUUGCUUCUAUUAUGACUCACACGUCAUAAAUGAAUCCAUAUAUUUAAAAUACUCAUGAAUGUUUCAUUUCACAAUUUGAGUGCUGCAUAAUUGUGGAAGUGUUAAAUGAACACUUUUCUUUUACUUUAAUAAAGUGAAAACAAUUUUAUACACUUGAAAUUUGACCUGGGGUUUUUAAUGGAAUCAGUGUAAAUUAAUAACAUUAUAAGAGUAUAAAAUUUAAAUUAAUACAACCUGAGUUUAGAAUAUUAGUUUUCAUGAAUUUUAAUCAUUUAACCUCAUUUUUACCAUAAAUAUUAUUCUCAGUCUAUAAGUGUACUUUUAGCUUAGUAAAAAAUGAGAAGGAAAAAAAAAACUAUUUAUAAAUUUUCUUUUGUCGAGAAUAUUCACACGAGACAUUUAAUAUUAUUGUUAUUAGUUUGUAACUCUGGUACUUCCAAACAUUUCAAACAUCACUUAUCUUGGUACAACUUUUGUAAUAUUUGUACGUAUUUAAAAUAUUAUUCAUAUUUGAAACAUCACCUAAACCUAUCUUGAUGUAUUUUUUGGUAUACAGAAAUUGAUUUUUUUUAGAGAUAAUAACUGUGUUAUUUUUUUUUCAAACAAGAAAAGGAAAAAAGAAAGAUAUGGAGGAAGUAAAAUUUCACCAACGGCUAUUUUUCAUUUUUCAAUUCACUUUUCACUUUCGCAUGCUUUUGCUUACCCUCUCACUUAUUCUUUGGAAGUCCAACGGUCAAAUCCAAAACCAUCCAUUUCUUAAAUUUCUUUUAAAAAUAAAAAUCCCAAAAGAUCCCUUCAUUUACUAUGAAAAAACUAGCCGUUACUGACCGAGAAGCUAAGGAGUCAUCAUCUUCACCAAAACCCCUCUCUCUCUCCCCUUAAAUAUUUUCGCCGACUUUCCAUUUCUGUUCCACAUUUGAAUCUCUCAAAUUUCUCUCCCCUUGCAUCUGAAAAUUCUUCUCUCAAUUCCAUUUCCAUGGCGCUGCCGUCCAACAGGUCCUCCUCUCCGUCAUUUCUGUCCGGAAGAACAAGCCCUAAUUCAAGAAGUUCCGAAAUCAGUAACCCCAUCCGCCGGAGCUUCUCGGGUAACCCGUUUUCAAAGCAAUCCAUAGUUGCCAAUCCCAGAGGCUUAAACCCUAUCACUCCGGCCAAUAGUCCCUCUGGUAUGGUUUUGGUUUCUUCAUGGUUAUUCUUUUCAUAGGGAUCUUAGAGUGGUUUAAAUCUGUUUGGUUAAUGAAUUUUUUUUUUUUUGGGUUUGUAAAAGAAUAUCUGUUCGUUGGUAUCUGGCUAUGAGUUCGCCAUUUCCUUGCUUGGUUUCUUCCUUUAUAUUUUUGCUUGGUUCAAUUUUGUUUGUUUGCCGAGAAUGUUUAGGGUUUUUUCCUUUUUUUUUUUGCUACAAAGAAAUCUUCCUUUCUUUUUAAUCUCAAAUUGCUUCCAUCUUCAACGUUUGAAUCUGCGAUCUGUGUUUUUACUUGUUUAUUUUUUAAUAAAAAUUUUAGAUUAUCCACGAAGAAACUCAGUGAACAGAGAAAAUUCAUUUACUUCUCGGGACAUCUCGGAGAAAGAAAAUGGUAAAGAUCAGAGUCCUAAACCCGUUCGAGUUCGUUCACCGAUAGUUGGAAAAUCGUCGAAGCAUUUUAUGUCUCCUACAAUUUCCGCUGCCUCCAAGAUUGCAGUCUCUCCAAGGAAGAAGGUUCUGGGUGAUCGGAACGAGCCAGCUCGGUCCUCUAUUUCAUUUUCCGGAAUGAAGAGCUCUUCACUCAACUCGGUGAAUCGAAGUUUGGAGGCACCAGAGGCACUUGAAUCCGAUACCAACUCUCAAAUUCCUCCUGUUUCAAAUUCAAAAACAGCAAAGAUAGUGAGAUUUGGUGGUUUUGAGGUCAUUUCUGAUUCAUUUGACGAUUCGAAAUCCACUUACAGAUACGAUUUGAACCCGGAGAUGGUGGUAACAAUGGCAGUCGAAACCGAUAUGACGUCUGGAAAUGCUCAAGUUUCAAAAUCCACCAAUGCUGUAGCACCUUCCGAACCAUCUAAUUCUGAGUUUGCGGUAAUCUCUGUCUCGAACAACGAUUUAGACUCUCCUCCAGCUAAGAGUAAUUUAACUGAAGAAGUGGAUUGUGUCAAUCUUGAUCUUGAUCAAAGUUUUAAGAUAAGUCCUGUUUCUUCUCCAACAAUAGCACCUCUCGAUGCUGAUCCAUCACUUCCCCCUUAUGAUCCAAAAACUAAUUAUCUGUCUCCAAGGCCUCAGUUCCUCCAUUACAGACCAAACCGAAGAAUCAAUCGAUUUGAACCAGACGGCAGACUUGAGGAAAAGCUCCUUUCCUUUGCCAAUGUUUCCGAGUCUGAAUCUGUGGAGGAAACUGAUUCUGAAGAUUCAUCAAAGGAACUUGAUGAAGCUUCUUCCAACGAAUCGCAGAUGGAAGAAGAAGAAGAUGAAGUGGAAGAGGAGGAGGAGGGAAUUAAUGUUUCUGAACAAAGCCCAACAAAAGUUCAAAAGUCAUGGAAGGUGUCCGUGUCAAGAAUAUUCAAGAUCAGCUCUUUGCUUUUGAUCUUGUUUACUGCUUGUUUUUCUCUUUAUGUUGUGAAUGUUCAUGAUCCGAGUAUCUUCAAGAGGCCAAGCUCAUUAACAAUGGAAGAUGCAUCCGAAAUUUACGAGCUGGCAAAAACAAAUUUCAAUGUGUUCGUCCAGAAACUUGAGGUUUGGAAUGUGAAUUCCAUCUCUUUUAUUUCUGAUAUGGUUUUCAAUUUCAGAGGAGGGCUACCACUGGUUCAUUAUGAAAACCAGACCGAGUUCUUCAAUAUGAAUGAGCAGUGUCUUGUAUUAUCUCAUCAAACUGUGUGGGAAGAAGAAAACAUAUUGAAUGUAAUGGAAGCCAUGAAGGAUGGAGACACUGACAUUUUUGAAGAACCUAUUGAGAUAGAAGAACGACAAGAAGAAGAAGAAACUGACAUUUUUGAAGAACUUGUUGGAAUAGAAAAGCGACCAGAAGAAGAAGAAAUCGGCAUUUUUGAAGAACCUGUUGAAAGAGAAUCCGAGAACGAAGAACAAGAACAGGAACAACAAGUAGACUUGUUGCAAGAGAUUGAAGCAAUGAAGAUGAGAGAAAUUGGUAUUGAAAAUUUUGAAAGAGAAUCUCAAAAUGAAGAAGAGCUAGAAGAGGUAUCAUUUCAAGGAAGUGAUGAAGUCAAUGCCAAUGAAGAAGAGAAGAAUGGAGAGGUUUUUGAAGAACCAUUAGAAGAAAUCAAUGAAGAGACCUCAGAAAAUUCAGCUUCCGAUGAACUAUGUGAAGAAGAAGAAUACAUCCAAGAGAAAUCUGAGGACAAUUUCAAAUUUUCUUCAACGGAUGAUUUCAAAUUUCAUGAUCAAAUUAGACAAGAAGCGGCAGCAGCAACAGGGGAAACAGAGGGAGCAAAGAACACAGAAUUGCAAUACCAGUCACCUCCAGUUGAACGUCAAACUGACUUUGACCAUGAAAUUGGAGGCAGAACCAUUGAUGUCAUCAGAACAGAAAUCGGAAUCUCUCGGGAUUUUACACAAACCAAAGCUAUUAUAAUAUCUGCUAUACUGCUGGGUUUAUCUCUUGUAACUGCAGGACUGAUUUAUGGAAGAAAAUCAGGCUCAAAACCACCACCACUAUCCAUUGCCGAUGAGCAAAAGAAGGAGCAGCCUCUGAUGAACAUGAGUCGAGUGGAAGAAAAAGAUGAUGAAGAAGAUGAUAUGGGUGGAGAAUUUUCUAUUUCUGAAACCAGUAGUUUCCAAUACAGUAGCAUGAGGGAAGGAGAAACAAAAGCAGACAAAACAUUGAAUGAAGUUGAGAGCCAUAGCCAUGUAAGGAGGAAGAUGAAGAAGAAUUCAAGAAGAGAAUCAAUGGCUUCUUCUCUAGAUGAAUAUUCAUUGUCCACUUCAGCUUCUCCAUCUUAUGGGAGUUUCACGACCUAUGAGAAGAUCCCAAUCAAGCAUGUGAGUAUCUCAAAUUUGGAGUUCAUUAGUAAUGUGAUAUUUUUCUUUCUUGUCCUUUUGAUUUUAUUUUUAAUUAACUUAUUUAAAAUAGGAUGUGUUCAAAUUAUUUCAAAGUACAGUUUUAUAAAAUCCAAUUAUUAUAAAGAUUAUUGUUUUGCAAAACAGCUCAAGUCAAAAAUAAAAAAUUUUAAAAGAUGAUAUUUGGUAAUUUACAUAAAUUGUUUUUUUUUUCUCUUAUCUAAUUCUUUCUAUUUGUUUGUUAUAGGGUGAUGAAGAGAUUGUGACUCCUGUGAGACGUUCUAGUAGAAUUAGAAAGCAACACAACAAUAGUUGAAUUAGGUGAACUUGGAAUAUGCUUCUGUGGUUUGAAAUUUAGAAUAUUUUGUGUAGGUAAUGUCAAUCUUCAUUACUAAGAUUAGAGCUAGAGAGCAAAGGCAACCGUAGUUGCUAUUUUCAUCUGUUAUAUAAAAUGUCUUUGUUGGGACUCCUGAGACUAUUUUGUUGUGCAUACAUUUUAAGUUCUUAGUUCUUCAUUCUAACAAGAAAAACCUACCCCUCUACACAAAAUUUUGUAGAUUAAUUGACACAAAAUGUAUGAAAUGAUUUGUUGUUUGGAUCUUUUUUUAUAUAUAUAAAUAAUUAUUUGAUUUUUAUUUCAAGUAAAAAAAUAUAAUUGUGUUAAUUGAUUAUUUAAUCAAACUUAAAUUAAUUGAGUGUGAGUUUUCCACUGAAGACUGGAGGAGAUAAGGUAAUAUAUAUUUAAAAAGCCUAUGAUCUAUUUUUGAUCCUUUUUAUCGUCCUUUUUCAUCGUUUACUUCACAAACUCCUUCACAUCUCUAACAGGUCACAACUCAGUUUUUCGUCUUUCUUCCCUAUUUUGAUAUUUUAAAAUGACACCUGUUUGUAUCGAGGUUCAAAUCUUGUACCCUUACAUUUUUUAAUUGCAAUAAAUUUUUUUAAAAAAAUAUUUAAUGUAGAAAUUACAAAUUUUAAAAAUUGAGGGGUAGCUGUAAGUGGAUAAAAUAGUAAAAAAAGUAAAUAAAUAAAAGGAUGAAGUAUAGUUUUGGGGUUUGAAAGGUAAGAAGGGGAGAGACCUCCAGCUGUCGUCCAACAGCUGGGUCCGUAUAUUUUGGUGGGUUUUAUAUAUUUGCAUAUGCCGUCCGUACAUCUUUGUCCCUUCCUCAACCAAUCCUUUUUUUUUCCCCUUAAUAUCAUCUUUUGAUUAAUCCAAAAUUUUAACCUAUAGAUUUAAUUAUAUAACUGUCCUCUUCCUUCCUAACCCCUUUUGAUAUCCAUAAUAAUAAUAAUACCUAACAUGAAAAUACACAUAUAUAAUCUAAUGUUUUUUAGCUUAUUGUUCUAAAAAAUUAAUUAUCAAAUUUUCAUUGCCUCAUAUGCCACUCUUUUGUUUCAUCCAUAUAAUUCUAUAUCUACUACUCAUUUUCCUCAUAAAUAGUGACAUGCAUUUGAUGAAACUUUAAGAGGUUUGCGUAUUAACAAGAAUUUGAAAUAAUUCUGGAUCUAUGAGUUUCUUUUUCUUUUUUAUCUCUAUUCUUUAUCAAAUUUAAGCUUAAUUUUGAAAACAAAAAAAAAAUUUAAUGAAAAUUUUGAUAAAAUAUUUACAAAAAAAUAUAACAAAAUUUUAAAUUUUAGUUAUAAUAAAAAAAGAAUUACCAAAUGACACCCAAAGCGGUUUGGAACCAAUAACCACUUCUUAUUAAGCUAGAUCUACAUUUACUUCUCAGAGUAAUUAUUGCUAUCUAUUGCAAUUUAUUGUAGUGAUUUUUUAAUUUUUUUAAAUUUUCAUUUGAAACAAGUUAGAAGUAAAUAAUUGAUAAUUUAAGAGAAGAAUUUGUUAAAGAUUUAGGAAAAUUCCAAAAGAAAUGGGAAAGGGAGAAAAGGGUUUUGGGUCGGACAGAACUGCAGGAAACAGUGGGUGGCACGUGAGGUUUAGAGGUUGAACCUAAACCACAAGCCAACGCCGGGAAAGUUAGUUGACCGGUAAAGUUCAAAUUAAUUUAUAUCUCUUCUUAACACCUAAACACUGUGACAAAAGUCUUCUUCCCAUUCAUAAAUAAUUAGGGUUCUUCUCAUCGAAUAUUCUUCUUCUUCUUUCUUGUUAAAUCCACCAUUGUUCCUUACUCGGCGGACUAUACUAUUUGAAGCUAUCUAAGGCCUCUUCUUGCAGAAGAAGGCUAGAUAGUUGCAGAGUUACUUAAUCUUCUUUCUUGUUUUUUGUUAAUGGCGGAGGUCAAUGCUAUGAUGAUUCGUGCUCGCUGUAAUUUUAUGGUGAGAAACCCUGUGUUGGAUGUGAAGCGUUUGGGCUUUCGGAUGCCGGUUAUGGGUCGCCGAACAGUUUGGUGUAGUCGGAGGAGGAUGAAGGGGAGAGUUGUAAAUGGAGUGAAGGCGACAAUGCAGGUCGAUUUGGAGGAUGAGGAGAGGUUGAAAAGAUUGGAGGGUUUAGAGGCCACUUUAGGGCUUGAUAUUGUAGCGGAGAGGGAAUUGAAGGAGAAGGGGUUUUUAGGGAUGAGGAAGACGAAGCUUGUAUGCACUGUUGGUCCAGCGUGUAGUGGGAUUGCGGAUUUGGAGAAGUUAGCGUUGGAAGGUAUGAAUAUUGCGAGAUUGAAUAUGUGUCACAACUCGAUGGAGUGGCAUUGUGAUAUGAUUAAGAAAAUCAAGAAGUUAAAUGAGGAGAAAGGAUUCUGUAUUUCGGUUAUGAUUGAUAUUGAAGGAAGUCAGAUUCAUGUGGUUGAUCAUGGAGCUCCUUCCUCUGUAAAAGUUGAGGUAAAUUGUAAUUGUCAUGUCUCUGUUUUCAUUGUUUCCCUUUACUGUAGUCUAAAUUCUCUGGUCGUCAUUGUUCAGGAUGGUUCAAUCUGGUUGUUCACUGCUAAGAAAUUCGAAGGUUCUCGUCCAUUCACUGUGCAAGCGAGCUAUGAAGGUUUCUCUGAAGGUGCGUUUUGAAUCGUGUAUUCUAUUUGUGAUCGAAGAAAUAUUUGAAUCCGAGAAGCUAAUUAGGACAUGGUUUUGAAGUUGAAGAUCUUGUUUUUACGAAUUUGGGCAGGUAUCCGAGUGGGUGAUUCAAUUGUAAUUGAUGGGGGAAUGGCAACCUUUGAAGUUAUUGAAAAGAUUGGGAAUGAUUUAAGCUGCAGGUGCACAGACCCAGGUUUAUUUCUUCCUCGGGCGAAGUGUAGCUUUUGGAGAGAUGGAAGGCUUGUUAUGAGAAAUCACGAGUCUCCCACGUUGUCAAGUAAGGUAGGAACGUUUUUCCUGUAAUAUCAAUAUUCAUACUGAGAAAUUUAUUUUUGAUAAAUAUAAUUAGAAGUGCUCACUCUUAAGUUAAACUUUCAAGUAUGAUGUAUUCAAAGAUCAAGAACCUAAGAUGUUGCAUUCUUCGUUUUGGUAUUACUAUGGAGGAAAUCUUAUAUCCAUUAUUUUCGAAGUUUUCUUUCUGUGGGAUUACAAGUUGGGUCCACUAUCUUGAGUCGUGGGGACAGUUUCAUGGUUCGACAUUUUUUGUUACUCUGGGUUGUCAACAUGGCAAUGUUUUUACUUGAUUCAAUAUGGGAAUAACAGUUUAAGGUUCAUUAUUUAAGAGUUGGCUUCUUGUUGUGGUUGUCAACACUACGAGUUCAAUUUCAAAAUUUUUCUUUUUUGGGUGCCAGCAUUAAAAGUUUAUUCCUGGACAUUUUCAUCUCUGUCGUGAAGAAAAUUUAUCUAUUUUUAUGCACGUAAAACUAAUUUUCUUGACAAUUGUCUCUCCAUUGACGAGGUUGACUUUCUCAUAUUAAUGCAGAGUAAAAGGUCUUGGUAUUAUGUAAUUAAAUUUAUCUAACCUAUCAACUUAUAUAUUUUUAGGCUGAUCGAUGUAUUGGAUCUUUCUGAUUAAUGUCAUUUCUUCUAAUUAAUGUUAAUUUUCACAUGUGAACUUUUUACAAAUUUAUAAUUCACGAGCCCGAGUAUUAAACUAUUGAAAUAAUUUCAGGUUGACAUGGAAUUCAAUUAAUAUGAUGGUGUAUUACGUUAUUCGGUUUUCCGUUGUGCAGGAUUGGUCGGACAUUGAAUUUGGAAUUUCAGAAGGCGUGGACUUCAUUGCCCUUUCUUUUGUGAACAGUGCAGAUCCUGUCAGGCAUCUAAAGAACUACCUUUCAACAAAAUCAGCGAAGUAAGCAUCGAUUCAAGAAGUCAAUAUUUUACCAUGAGUUAGGUCGAAAUAUCACUAUCACUACUAUGCAUGAACUUUUGAUUCCUUGUCUUUUUUUAAUUGAAUUUUCAACAGCAUUUCAUAAGAUGGAUUCCCAUGACACUAUUGAGGCAUUAUUUUCCGCAAAUUUUGAUUACUGAAACAGAUUGGGUAAUUUUAAAACUUCGCUCAAGUGAUGAAGUGUAUAUUCUCUUUUUCAUGCACAGAUCUAUAAGGGUAUUGGCUAAGAUUGAAAGCUUGGAGGCCCUUCAAAAUCUGGAAGAAAUUGUAGAGGCCUCUGAUGGAAUCAUGGUGGCUCGAGGGGACCUUGGGGUUGAAAUUCCGCUCGAGCAGAUACCAGCAGUGCAAGAGGAAAUAACCAGAGUUUGUAGGGAAUUGAACAAACCAGUGAUCAUAGCUUCUCAACUUCUAGAGUCCAUGGUUGAAUAUCCUACCCCAACACGUGCUGAGGUACAAGUGACAUGUGCUUUUGAUUGUUUUCAAUUUUGGACUUGUUUGAAAUGACUAUCUAAGUAUUUAGAAAAGUGUCUUUUUAAGGCUCUUCUUGUGCUCUCCAGAAGGCUGAGAUUUCAUACUCUUCGUGUUCAAUAGGUUGCAGAUGUUUCUGAAGCUGUCCGACAAUAUGCUGAUGCGUUGAUGCUAUCUGGGGAGUCUGCCAUAGGAUCAUAUGGACAGAAAGCACUUUCGGUUCUACAGAUGGCCAGCAGCCGAAUGGAAUUAUGGAGUCGUGAAGAAAAUAGGAACAAUUUCCUUCCCCAGCAUCAACUUGGAGUGUCAUUGCAUGAUCGCAUUGCAGAAGAAAUUUGCAAUUCUGCAGCUGAAUUGGGUAAAACUCACUUUUCUCCACUUUCUUUUUAAACAAAGUCCAUCGUAUGGGAUCGUCAAAAUAACAUCAUAAUUCCCUUUUGGCUAUGUCUCAUGUCUAUCGGCUACCUUCUUUAUUACGUAAUCAUGCAAAAGAAAAUCGUAUGAAAUAUAUUGGCUUGCCAUUUUAGUCCAUUCUUCUGCGCUUAGUUUCAAUGUGAUAUUUCUGGUUUAGAAGUAUAUAUCAUCAAAAUCCUUCAAAAACAUAUCGGCUGGAUGUUUUCACUCAUUUCUGUUCUGAGUCACUGUCACACUGUUCUCGAUCAAAUUUUUAAAAAAUCUUUUACUUAUUAAGUAAUUUAAAAACCUUUGUAAAAGGUAAGAGUAGAGUAAUAUCGUAACUUCCACAAGUACAGGGCUAGUUUUGAAACAAAUGGUCAGUUGGAGGAUAUUUUCUUAUGAUUUAACCUUAAAAGUUGUUAACAAUUGGUAACAACAGAGAAGUUUUGUGAGAAAAAGCUGGUUGUGUCAUGGUGUGGUAGAACUAGAACACUGAGUCUUUGAUUCUUAGGUUUGAAGAAGUAAAUCAAUUACCUUCAAAACAAGAGGUUCUGUUUGUUUGAAUGUUGCUAAUUGCAUUUGGCCCACGUUUCCACUAAAAUAAAAACCUCCAUAUUCUUUGUGGCAGCUAACAGACUUUCAGUAGACGCCAUAUUUGUGCUCACAAAUCAAGGGCAUAUGGCAUCUCUCCUUUCCCGGAACCGCCCAGGGCCGCCAAUAUUUGCAUUAACCGACGAUGAUAGCACAAGAAUGGCUUUGAAUCUACAAUGGGGAGUGUUUCCUUUGCGAAUUGACCUCUCAGAAGACAUUGAAGCAAACAUCUCAAGAGGGAUCGAGGUUGUGAAAUCAAAGGGAUUGGUAAAACAGGGGGACUCUGUGCUUGUGGUCUCAGAGAUCUCUCCAGCUCGAGCUGCGUCAAUGGCGUCCCAAUCAAUUCAGCUCAAAACCAUCGUGUAGAACAAAGAAAAAACAGGUCAAGCUUUGUAAGUGAAACUUUAUGAUUGCAUGUAUCAUAUGUGGUGGAUAUUACACGUGAAUGUUGCAUCUUAUCAUUUGUGGCCCUCUGUUUGUAACGACUAUUGAAGCCUUUGAUAGGUUGUUUAUUAUUAUUUGGAAAAUGUAAUAACUCUACUCAAAUUUGAAUUUAGUUUUAAUAGUAUUGUAUUGUUUUGUUUGGUAACCCUUUUAUUUUUAUUUGUUUGAAAACCAUCCUAAUAAUUAUCUUUUUAAAUGCAUAAUUAAUCAUAAUUAUUUUAAAAGCUAUAUUGAACAUAUAAUUUUAAGAAAGUUUAGGAUUUAAUUACUUUAGCUAGAGUCUAUAUCGAUAUAAUUCCAAGAUUUAAAGCCUAAAUUGAUUUUAGGUCUAAGUCCUACCCAAAUGCUUGACGCCAUGAGUAGAGUACGUUAAUUAUAAGAUCCAUUUUGUUUUCUGGAUUGUGCUUCUUAGCAGCUAUCUGGCAUUGGGUGUAUUGGGAUCUAGAAAUAUUUUCUGAUGAACGUACAGGAAAACCUUCUUUGGAUUUGCCGAAGAUUUUUGGAAUUCAUUUAUUUCUCUCAGGGUUGGGUUGUUUUGGUUUUGGUGCAUUUCAUGUAACCGGAUUGUACGGUCCGGGAAUAUGGGUAUCCGAUCCUUAUGGAUUAAGUUCAAGUACCGCAACAAUUUUCUUAUAUUGAACAAAACAACUUUCAAACUCAUAUUUGUGAUGUUACAUACAACAUGCCAUAUGAUGUACAUAUACAUACCAUACCAUACAUCUGCACAUAUUUGUAAUUUGUUUCUGAAAUAGAUAGAAGUUAGAUAGAUGAAUAAUCCAAACAUCCUCUUCAAUGAAAUGCCCCUUGUGGAACUUUCUACACCAUAUGUAUUCAAUCAUUGCUAUCCCCACACAACACACACAGUCACACACACACAUAUAUCAUAUCUCUCUUUCUCUCAUUCUCCUUUUUCUUCUAAACAAAUAAUAAAAUAAAACAAAUAAACCGAAGCCACAAGCAAAAUCCCAUUCUGGGGCCCUCAAGCAUGCGCAAUUUAGUAUUUGAACCUCAUAUGUUGGCUAUAAUGCGCACCGACAGAUGCGUAUACGCUUUAAUCGUCGCCUCCUGUCCUGGCCUCCGCUUGCGUUUCAUUUUGUUUUUGCUCUCUUUUGUGGAAAAAUUAAGAUGAAACUAUUUCUCCCAUUCAAUUCUGCUAUCUAACUAAUCUAUGGCUGCUCUUCAAAUUCUCAAAUCAUCUCUCUCUCUUCCUUCCAUCUCGCACUCGAAUUUUGGCUCUCAAUCAACACGCUUCGUCUCUGACUUUGAUUCCCUACUCCUUCAUGGACGUCGGAGGAGUUUGCGUUAUGCCUGCGUUUAUAGAAGGUUCACUUUCCGUUGCGCUGCUAAAGAUACUGAUAAGGAAACCAAUGGCAAGUUUUAACUGCUUUUCUUCUGCUUCGUUUCUACCGGUUUUCUUUUUCCAUUGCACCUGCUUUGCUUGUAUUUUCUUUGGUGAUUGACUGUUCGUUUUUUCGUUGUUUUUGUUUUGCUAAACUACGAAGUUGCAUGAUGUAGUUUGUUGUUCAGAUGCUCCGUCGCUUCUGAAUUAUCUCGCUCAGUUGAAAGUAGCUCAAUCAUGUAGCAAAAUCGUGCGAGUAUUCAUCAAGCUAUUUGAGUAAAUGAGGAGUGGAAGAUAGUUGAGGCUAUGAAUAAAGGUUGCUUCGUUGGCACUCUAAUUCUCAUUAGAGCUUUAUUCUUGAAUCAAUAUAGACACGAUUCGAUAGAUGGAUUAAACCGGAAUCUGAAAUUUUAAACUAAGAAUUUUUUUACGUUCAACGAUUUUUUAAAAAACUUAAGAGAUGGCGAAUCUAAGAGUUUUGUUAAUCAGACAGAGGAAGCUUGGUAAACGGAUGAAAUUUUCAUUUCGAUCAAUGUCUGUAUUAACCAUCACUUGAUUCUAUAAUCCGAAGUCUUCCUUGGUUCAAUUUUUGUAGUCAAAGCUUUUAGGAAGCUUCAAGUAUGUGUCGAGCCGACAGUUGUAGUACCGUACUUGUAUUAGGAGUCGUAGCUGGCGAUGCUUGUUUAGAUUGCUUGAACAGUUUUCGCAUAGGUUCAGUUUUUCUUUUAAGAAGUGUUUCGGACAUUUGAGUUUUCUUCAGCUUGUGUAACAGCGGCAUGGUUUGCUUGGCCCUCCUGUGUGGAGGCUCAUGAGGCCUUCAAGCUUACUCUCAUGAAUUUACCUAGCCGGUCUCCUUUGUGCAUAUACCAUCUUCCUACCAUGUUCACAUCUGGAUUUUCUCUCUCUUGGUCCAUUGUAGAAGAAUGCGUACAUAUUAGAGCAGACCUUUUUGCGUUCACCUGUAGAUGUUCCAAGCAAGUUUUUAACUGUCUCAGUAGUGAUAUCUCCAGUGGUAAGUCUUGGUGAUUGGAGUUUUCACAUUCCUCAUUAGGAACCUGAAGAUUCUCUUUUGUUGAUUAUUGUCUUAUACUUUCUUUACGCAAGUCAUACGUUCCCAUUCAUGCAUUUCAUAUAAAUGAAGUCUUCCAUGCCGCAAGUAGCAUACAAGAAAACUGUAAUGUCUAGUUAGGGACCGGUUAAAACAAAAACCAACUUCUCAAUGACAUAAUGAAAAGAUAAAACAUCUAGGAGAUACAAACUCUCACAAUGAGAGGAAAAAGAAAAAAGAAAGGUAAGGAUCUGCAAAUACAACCAAAAAGGAUAAACUUCCGAAACAAAAGAAAGUACAAAACUACCGAAGAAACCCAGAAAACGACCACCAACCAACAGAAGACUAACAAAGAGCAAACUGAAAACUCCUUAAACGAUUUACACACUAAAAAUCCAAUGAAAGAAGCGUUUGAUGAACCAAUACCAAGAAUCUUAAAAAGAAAUCUUCUCCUAAUGCUCUAAAAAAUUCCAUCAGGAGAAUGAAACAAAGCCCAACAAGUAAUAUUAACCUGCCAAAGCGAAAACUUCAGAAACAGCGAACAAGAAACCGUCUUCCCUUUAUAAAGCAAUUCAAAAGAAAGUACACCCACGAUCUCUAGCAAUCAAAGCAAAAAUUCAACUCUUAUUGACAAACAAGUUGCCUCAGCUCCUUAGAACUUUACAAGAGGGGAAAGAGGGUGAAUUUCUUUGAGUUGUAAACCACAAGCUUCAAUUAAAUAUGAAAACCUUUUAGGAACUAAGGAAGGAAAUAUAACUGGUGAAAAAGGUUGAGAAGCCCUUAUCAAAUUAUCUUGGACAUAAUUCAUCUCAAAAGCAUCAGCAAAUGAACCCACAAGCUAAGCAUCUUCAAACACUCUUUGUGCUUUCCAAGGUUGAACAAAGCAAGGAAAAGCAACUUAAAUCAUUCUCCACAUCAAGAAACUAGGUUAUGGAGAAUGAUUUUAAUUUUGAAGGACUCUUUGUGUUUUCCAAGGUUAGAGAAGGUUGCUUUCUCUACACCUAUGACUCUGCGGAUGCCUGGUAUGAUAGAAAUUUUCUGGUGAUCUUAUUUGUCAUCAAGUUGACCAACCAUACUAUGACUGUAUUAUUGGCUGCUUCCCAUCCUUCGUAUUCAGUCUAACCAUAUAAUUGGUUUUCUCAUUUAGUUUGUGAGUAUUGAUGGAUAUGCAGCACCUUCAGAACCAUCAGAACCAUCAGAACCAUCAGAACCAUGUGUAUGUGUAUGGUUGAAUGUUUCUUUUGUAACCGGGAGUGGAAGCUGCGCUCAUACACUGGGACACCUGUACCUGACCCAAGGACUGGAGUUGAUUGUAGUGAAUAAUGUAUUUUGCAUGAGAUGAAUUAUGUCAAUAAAGUUUCUUUGCAUUACUUUCUGCAGGAGAAGAACCUCCAGAAUCAUUAUUCAUGAAGGAACUGAAGAAGAGAGGUAUAACUCCCACUUCCUUGCUUGAGGAUACUAACAGCAGUGACUUUGAACUUGGUGGCGAGAUGACUGGAGAAAACAGAGAUUUCUCCCGUAGAAGUGCUGUUUCAACGGAAGUUAACAAGAGCCUAUCCAAUCAAAGGGAGCGUUCCAUGCAAUUGAACAGUGAAGGCCUUGAGGUCAAUUUCCUUAUGAUUUUAUUGAGAUCUAGUGAAUAUGCUAUUCAAAUGUCUAAAUUCAUUUCAUCUGAUCUGUUUCAUUUAUUACUCUUACCUUGUUUGACGAGUUCUGACCAAAAUAACCAUAAUUUGAUGACUAGUUAAUGAAAUUAUUAUUAUAUUCCACCAUGAAUAUUGAAAGACUGGCUGGACAUGCAAAAUGAAAAUCACAAAUAAUGGGUCUACAAAAAAUAUCAAAUGUUGGCUCCAAACGUUGAGAACCAUCCAAAAGAAAUGGACGGCCAAAAAAGCCUAAACGAAAAAUUUAUAGUGAGCCAAGUUUCACGCAUCCUUCCAUGACCUCUCUGCUAGUCUUCCCCACAAAAUUCCUCGUGUUCCUUUCCAACUAAAUACACCAAAUAACAAAACAAAAUAAAAUAAAAAUUGCCUCCCGAGGAACCUUCCCAUUGUUACAGAAAGGAGGAUGAAAACUAAUUUCCUCCGCACAUCCCUAAGUCUAAGUGUGUGAUCAGAAAUGAAAAGCAUACUCCAGUCCAUCAUGGACGAUGAAUUCUCUUCCUGAAAAAGGCACCUUUUAUCAACAGAUGCCAAAGAAGGAAACCAAUCUACCCAAACAAACAACCAUUCUGAACUCUUGGAGAACCUCAGCAAAACAAAAGUUGCCUUUCUCAACCACAAACUUCCCUCCAUUCAUAAAGCCCAAUUCGAAAGACUUACUUUCUAUUGGAAAACGCCACCAAACACGUAGGCAGUGAUAAUCAAAGAAGAAAGUGCCAGACUUCUUCCUCCCGAAAAAAAAAAAAAAAAACUAGCAGCUUUCUAACAGUAACUGUAACUUCGGCACGCCAAAGCCUAAUAAUUGGAACCAAUAAUUCUGUUGAAUCUUAGCAAGCAAGAGUGGGUUAUGGAGUAUCCAAUGUCCAUUCAGCAGAAAACACCAAUAAAUUUAAGUAUAUAAAUGCUCUAAAACUCCCCCUCAUUUAUACGCUUUAAAAUGUGUAAAAUGCCCAACAUGUGGAAAUUUCAAUAUUAACUAAGGAAAAAUAAACAUUACAAAGGUCGAAGAUAGAUAGGACUUCUUUUUCUGAUACCAUAAUAGACUAUCAAGCAAACUAAAAACUUAAACAGAAUUACAGAAUUAAUUCCCCAACAGUCUCAUGGAUUAAAAUUUAGUUAUUUUCAUUUCUAUCAUUACAACUACAUAUUUCAGUUGUAUGUCUUAUGUAGUUUGAAUUAAUUAUGUUUGCUUUUCAGGGGUUGAUCCCUCGUGCUAAACUUUUGCUAACAAUUGGAGGAACGUUCUUCUUAGGAUUCUGGCCGUUGAUCAUCAUAACGGUUUCGUUCUUUUUUGGUUUAUACUUUGUAAGUUUCCUUUCACUUACUACUACAGAGGAGCUGGACUUACAAAACCCUAAAGGGAAACUAACAAUUAUUCUCUAACAUUUAACGCAGUUUUUGGGAGCCUCUUUUAUUCAUGAUGGCCAAACGCCAAUAUCUCCUCCACCGUAUGUUGACCCAUAUGCUCUUUUAGAGGACGAAAGAAUUUCACAAAUAGCUCCUCCUGUAAAUUGACUGCUGCAAAAUCCUCUAAUUGGUUGGUUUUCUGCUACUUUGUUUUCCUUACCCAAUAUUUAUUGCCACUAUAUGUAAAUGAUUAUUAGCUAGAAUUUUGUGGUCUUGCGCUCUAUUUUAUUUCUCGAAGUCUUUAGUUUUUUUUUUUCUUCGACAAUAUCUGGGUGGGGGGAGGGAUACCAAAUCUAUGACCUCAAAGUUAACAGUACAAGUUGUAAAACCUUCAAUCAUUCACACGUAGACGGGGGUAAAAGGGGGGAAAGCUGUUGAAGAAAGGAUGUAGGGGUUUAUGCACGGUUUUGGGAUGUUCUGUGGAGAAUUUUGGAGGUUAGGGGAAAGCUUUUGGGAAAGGGAGGCAACUCUCGAAUCAGUCCUUAUCUCGUCUUGUUUUGUAAUUGCUAUGUUUUUUCUUGUUUUAGAGAUAUGGUAAUAAAUAUUAUUGCCCUUUUGGUUGUUUAUUAUUAUUAUUAUUAUUGAAUUAUGAAAAAGAUGAGGGAGAUAUCCAAGUCCCUCUAUUUUGGUCGUUGUUGGAUAGUUUUGUGUGUGUGCUGUGUGCAGGGAGGAGAUUAAGGAUAUGAUAUCUUCCAUUUUUGUUUGGAAGAAUGAGAAGAAGAAAAAAAAAGGGCGUUGGAAUAGACGAGACGGAAGUUAGUUGGAAUGAAUGGAAACCCAUGAGGAGAUAAAAUGGGGGUGGGGUGGUGGAAGGAAAUGGUGUUUGGAUGUGUCAGAACUUCAUUCGGACACAUAGAACAUCCCAAAACCCUACUUUGAAACUAUGUUUUGAAUUUUAAACAUUACUCAGAGUCAAAUAUUAAAAUUAAAUAAAUAAAGUUCAUAAUGGUUAUUAUAUCCAUCAUAGCAUACAAACUUGGCUUUGCGCUUUUGGAAUUUGGAAGGAUGAGAGUAAUAAAGAAAUUACUUUCUCAAAAAAAAUAAAAAAUAAAAUAAAAAACUUUUCUUGACUUUGAAGUUAAGUGUUGUGGACAUUUUUAGGUGUAGGAGUCGACCAAUCUUUGAAUUGAAGAUUUAUGGGUUUUUUCUUAGGCAUGCUUUGCUGUAGGCCCCCGUCUUUUUUCUAAGAAUAAAAAUUAAAAUGGGCAAAUAAUAAAAAAUAGCACUAUUUUUGUUCAAAAUAUCAGGAUUAAAACCCUUCUUCGUAAAAACAAUUUUAGCUACCGGCCGUUAAAUUAUUAACUGAGAAAUAUUUAAAAUUUAAACUGAAAUUUUAUUUUUAUUGAUAAUAAAAAAACAAUUUCCGACAUUUUUAACGAAUUCAAUAUUAUUUAUACGAAUUGUUAUUUUCAAAAACAAUAUUAUUUCUUUUCCUUUUCUUGGAAUUUGGAUUCGGUACCAAUUCUUCAAAAAUUAUGAAAGAAGAAAAUAACAAUAAAAUUGGAUGCCAAUUUGAAGAAUACAAUGGCCAUUUGAAUUAAAAACAUAGGUUCAAUAAUAAAAGCCUUGGAAACAAGAAGUAUCACAGCAUCAUUUCAUAUAGAGAGAAGCCACAUGAAAAAAAGACAUAACAAGAAUGCCAAAAAAACCAAAGUGCAAUAAGCAGAGCACCACACACCAACACUCCCAAACAUACACACAAUGAGGCGAGAGAGAUCGAGCCAACACGUGUUUGUUUAGUAGUCCUCUCCUUCAUCAUCCUCACCCUCAGCUGAUUCAGCACCCACCUCUUCAUAAUCCUUCUCAAGUGCAGCAAGAUCCUCUCGGGCUUCCGAGAACUCUCCUUCCUCCAUACCCUCACCUACGUACCAGUGAACGAAUGCACGCUUUGCAUACAUCAGAUCGAACUUGUGGUCGAUACGAGAGAAUACCUCAGCAACACUGGUGGAGUUGGAGAUCUUGCACACAGCUCUUUGCACCCGGGCAAGAUCGCCUCCAGGGACAACAGUUGGUGGUUGGUAGUUGAUACCACACUUGAAUCCAGUGGGGCACCAAUCAACAAACUGGAUGGUGCGCUUGGUCUUGAUGGUGGCAACAGCAGCAUUCACGUCCUUAGGCACAACAUCACCACGAUACAUCAGGCAGCAAGCCAUGUAUUUACCGUGUCGAGGAUCACACUUGACCAUCAUAGACGAGGGCUCAAAAGCGCUGUUGGUGAUUU
RNAcentral lists this long non-coding RNA (22535 nucleotides) under Cucumis sativus (cucumber). RNAcentral describes it as "long non-coding RNA (CSAT_LNC001357)". Lineage: Eukaryota; Viridiplantae; Streptophyta; Magnoliopsida; Cucurbitales; Cucurbitaceae. The record is from RNAcentral.